UUUAUAACACAUUUAUAUGUCCGACUCUCUCACUCUCAGCUAGCCUUUUCACCAGGGCCACAACCACCAACCCAACACCUCCCACCACCACACCCACUAUUGAAACAACCUGUAACAACCAAACUAUUACCGUCCACCGCCAAUGAAACCCCACCAAAACCCGAACAACAUCUUCAACUUUGCGCCGCAUAUGGUUAGAUCUGAUUGGAUUUCAUGCCAGUUGUAGGCUUUGAAACGAGAAGGAUGGUCAGAUAUGAGAUAUCACAGUUCUUAUCCUGAUUGUAUAAAUCUAAUGCUUCACUGAGUUGAUGCCUAUCGGCUACGGAGAUAGCGUUUCAGCAACGUCAAUGGGUGUUGAUGUCUUCCGACGCGGUGACGGAGAUGAUGUUGUGAAGAAGAAUAACAGUGAUGGGUGGCGAUUAGCAUAGGGUAAGAUUAGGGAAGUUCAAGAGAGAUCCGGAUUCAAUAGCAAGAGAGGGAGAGAACUUGCAGGCUAUCUAGAGCCCUGAUACUAAAUUAAUCGUUGUUAUUGUAAGUAAGAAAUUGGCAAACCUCUGCAUUGUUUGAUUUUGAUUCACGUGUGGAAUAAUGUAAGUUUUAUACGUUUGCCUAUUCAAUCCAUCUUAUCGGUAGC
Molecule: long non-coding RNA, 634 nt
Filed under: Helianthus annuus (common sunflower)
Lineage: Eukaryota; Viridiplantae; Streptophyta; Magnoliopsida; Asterales; Asteraceae
Description: sRNA HanXRQr2_Chr14g0634491
Source: RNAcentral